RNAcentral lists this ribosomal RNA (208 nucleotides) under uncultured bacterium. RNAcentral's name for it is "partial 16S ribosomal RNA". It matches the Rfam family "Bacterial small subunit ribosomal RNA", at positions 568 to 774 of the family's 1533-position model. The record is from RNAcentral.
CAUGUAGGUGGCUUUUCAAGUCAACUGUGAAAGCCCAGGGCCUAACCCUGGAAGUGCAGUUGAUACUGUUGAGCUUGAGUACGAGAGAGGAUAGUGGAAUUCCUGGUGUAGUGGUGAAAUACGUAGAUAUCAGGAGGAACAUCGGUGGCGAAGGCGGCUAUCUGGCUCGAUACUGACACUGAGAUGACGAAAGCGUGGGGAUCAAACA